UACAGAGGUGGCAAGCGUUGUCCGGAAUCAUUGGGCGUAAAGCGCGUGUAGGCGGUUCGGUAAGUCCGCUGUGAAAGUCGGGGGCUCAACCCUCGAAUGCCGGUGGAUACUGUCGGACUAGAGUACGGAAGAGGCGAGUGGAAUUCCUGGUGUAGCGGUGAAAUGCGCAGAUAUCAGGAGGAACACCAAUUGCGAAGGCAGCUCGCUGGGACGUUACUGACGCUGAGACGCGAAAGCGUGGGGAGCAAACAGG
Molecule: ribosomal RNA, 253 nt
Filed under: uncultured bacterium
Lineage: Bacteria
Description: partial 16S ribosomal RNA
Rfam family: Bacterial small subunit ribosomal RNA
Source: RNAcentral